RNAcentral lists this ribosomal RNA (2293 nucleotides) under Triticum aestivum (bread wheat). RNAcentral describes it as "partial small subunit ribosomal RNA". The record is from RNAcentral. Lineage: Eukaryota; Viridiplantae; Streptophyta; Magnoliopsida; Poales; Poaceae.
GCCGCCGCCCCCCUCCCACCACACCCCAGGUAACCCUAGUUCCCAAAUCCUUCUUGGAUCCAGCCAGCCAUGGCGGGAUCUUUGAUGAUGUCCGGCUCCUUCGACCCCCCUGCCGCCGAUCCCGCCGGCGCCAACCCCUCCCGCUACCCCUUCUGGGUUCUCCUCGACAGCACAGCCUACUUCGCCAACCGCGACAACGCCACCACCGUGAAGGGCACGACGAGCGCGGGCCACGAAUUCAAGGUGACCUUCUGCCUCGCUGACCCGCCUGCCGUCUCUUACUUCUGCGUCCACUUUACCGGAGUCAGCAUACAAGAGCUUUGCACCACGGAGCCCCGCGUCGUCUCCUCCACCUAUUACCUCGCCCUCCUCUGCUUCCCCAUCAGAACCGCCCUCGAGUACUUUGUCUACAAGGCCUUCUCCGGCGGCAAGAGCAUCAUCCAAAGGGUCCCUCCUUCUCCAGCAUACAAGCACCAGUGGCUCUCGGCAGUCGUGCCACGCGAGGGCGACAAUUUCUUGGUCGCUGAUCUUUCCCCGGGUGGGGACCUUGGGCACUACAACCUGCAUAUCUUCUCAUCGGAGACGAAAGAGUGGAGCACAAAACACCUACAGCUGCAGGCGCCCUCUGAUGUCCUGUCACGGGACCUGCCAAGCCAAACCGACAAGGUGAUCUUUCUCGGAGCAAACACUGUUGGAUGGGUCGAUCUCUGGCGCGGCAUCGUUGUGUGUGAUGUGCUCCAGAAGGAUCCUGUUCUCCGAUUCCUCCCGCUGCCCAAGGCUGAUUUCGACCUGCACCGGGAAAGUCCAGCACGGCAAGUGCGGGACGUCAUUGGCUUCCCUGAUGGUUUCAUCAACUUCGUGGAGAUCGAACAGUGUGUCAGAUGGUUCACCGUUGUCAGAAAGAGGACUUCGAAGACGACCCAUGUUUUUGACGUUGCAGAUACCAUCUCUGAUGCGGAGCUCCUCAGCAAUGAUGGUAUGGAUACAGAAGACAAACCUUUUCAUGCACCGGCUGGCUGGAAGAUACGGUCAAUGUUUAGGAGCAUUUAUUGGCACUUAUGGCAGAAGAGUCGCACUGCCCAUGUUGACCACAUAUCACCGUGCCCACCUGAAUCCUCUAAGCUGACGCAUCAUCUAUGAAAUGGACAUUGGGAAACCUGAAGACUGCAGGGUUCCCGACCUUGAGUGUUUACGGUGGUAAUACUGUCUACCUCGUGUCUAAGGUGGAGUCUCAGGAUGAAGACACAUUGCUUGUUGGUGUUGAUAUUGGAAAGAGGAAGCUGGAAGUCAUCGAACAAUAUUGUUGCGGCAGAUCCAUUUCUUUCGAUCCCUAUCCGCUUGGCGUUGUUCAAAUUGUAGGGGGGCGGGAAGUCAUUGAACCAUAUUGUGGUGGGAGAUCCACUGCUUUCAAUCCUAUUUCCUGCGCAUUCUCCGAAUAUCUGAAUGCCACUCCAAGUCCAAGGCAUGUUUUCUGUUUUGCUCUGUUUUCUAUUCUAUUAACUUCCAUGCAAACUCAUUGUAUUUCCCCCAGUUCUCAACUUAUUUUGCCCCAUGCACCUGACAUUUUGCCUCUUAUUUUGCUUAAGGCCACGUGAUGAUGAAGUUGCAGCAGUAUCUGCUCACAGCGGUGCGCUGGGCAAUACUGUUCCAAAAUAUAUGCAAACCCAGCAAAACACGUCGAAUGGGGAUGACUCUAGCAAGUAUCAACCGCCAACCACACUCCAGCCAUCCAGUUUGACACAAACUGGGCAGCCCUUGUCAUCUUCAACUUCAACUCAAUUAGACGACUUCCGAAGGAUGCCCUCUCAAUGUCUCGCGUGCCAUUGCAACCUCCCUCCUGACCAGUACCCAAGGAGGAGGCGUUUGCACCGUGAAUGACUUCGACGGCUGUCCUCGACCAUGGCCAACAGCACCACAGGAAGCCAUUUUCAUCUCUUGCAUAUCACGGGCAGGUGGAAUAUCGUGGUUGAUGUCAUGGAAUGUCAACAAAGUGCAUGCUCUUGCAUCUUUUGAUGCUGUGCAGCCAUGUCCAUAUAUAUAUGGUGCUAUGGACCUUAUUUGCCUUGCUGAUGUUUGGUUGCUCCUCCGCGAUGUCUGCUUUUUGGAAGAGUUCUGAUCUUAACGUUGUUAGACCAGCCAAUCAGCCAUUGAUCGCAGUGCACGUAACAGUCCCUGCUACUUCCCUGCUACUUCGUUGCGACCACCUAGACCUGUUAGCUUUGUUCAGUUACGGAUUAAAAGGCACGUUGUUGAUACAUGUCUUUUUUAUCCUACCCGAUUUUAUCUGGUUACC